UUUCGCAUUAUGUGAAUUGUUUUUAUAAGAUUAAUCACUUUUGAAAUCCUUUUCUCAAACAACAUUUUAGCUGGAACGUUACCUAAAUUUGUGACAAUUUUUUAGCAAUAAAUGUACAAAAUAUAAGUGUGUAUGUGUGUGUGUGUGUGUGUGUGUGUGUGUGUGUGUGUGUGUGUGUGUGUGUGUAUGUGUGUGUGUGUGUCAAUAUGCGUCAAACGACAAACAAAAAGCGAAAACGAUCCAAAAGAAGAGCUCUAAUUUAAUGUUAAUGAGUGUAACAAAAACGAUUCAUGAAAGCUUGGUAAACGGCAAACUAACCUCAAAUCAACUUGGACCACCGAGAGGGUAACCCUAAAUGCUUGAAUGCAGAAUCAAUACAGCUGCUACAAUGCACCUGCUGCAGAUAAUCCUCGCAGCCGACAAUCGACCUCAUUUCUUAUUUUAUGCGUAUAUUCCAAAGUUUUACCUAACACUUAUGAUUAUGCAAAGUCCUAACCAUUAGUCACUAGGAUGGUACUUUGAAAAACAAGUUUUCAUGACUUAAAACUAUUCAUACUCGAUUACUGUCGAAGACGCGAUUGGUUUCACGUACCUUUUUCUAUCCUCUCUUCCGGCAUGUUUUUUUCUCUCAAAUCUUAUCCUAAACGAUUCCUAGUAUGAUUUCUUUUUUUUUUAUCUUUGGAAGGUAAUUAAAAUAUGUGACGUAGCUUUGAUUAGCUGAGGCAAAAUUAACAAACAAAACGGAAAAGCAACAUGUAGGGGAAAUGGAUGCAUUAUAAUCGAUUGAAAAGGCAUCCUUGUAUGUAUGCGUGUGUUUGUGUUACUGUUCAUUCGAACAUAAAUAUAUAUUUAUAUUUACCCCCGGAGGGAUAAAUUAUUUAAACUAUCUUAAAAAGGAAGGACGAUGAAAAAUGGAGUGUGUUUUAAACGCUGUUGCUAUACUUUCAACUGCCAUCUAUUGUUUCUAAAACAAGCAAAUUUCUGAUUGUUCGGUACGUUUUCGGGUUUGAUUUCAAUUCUGCGUUGCCAGUACUAAGCCCAAAGCGUGAUAUUUGAUCGAAGAGUAUUUUUGCCGGUUGAACAGCGGUGGAACCUGUGGAGCAAGCACAUUUUCCACAAGUCCGAGAAAAUGUAAUACAUUCCCAAAAAAAAAAAAAAAAACUUUGCUUACAUCUGUACAUUUAUGAAAACUAACAUCCGGGACCGGGAAUGUUUUGUAAAAGUGAAAGAUAACAAUGGUAGUUCUGUUGAUUAGUCUAGGACACUCUUACCAAGUCUUUUCUCCGUUUGCUACUCUUUAUUUUCUCUCCUAUUUUCUUUCGUUCUUCCGUUAUUGUUAAUUCUCUAUCUAAAGAGAUUACCUCGAAUAAGCUUUAGCCGUGAUCCAUGCCCACGGGGGG
Long non-coding RNA from Ochlerotatus camptorhynchus, 1400 nucleotides. RefSeq lists it as uncharacterized. The record is from RefSeq and is a predicted model, not a curated record. The transcript is spliced from 2 exons. Lineage: Eukaryota; Metazoa; Arthropoda; Insecta; Diptera; Culicidae.